AAAGCCGGUCAGGCAACCGCCGCGUGCUUUUUGCACGGGGAGGAAAGUCCGGGCUUCACAGAGCGGGAUGCCGGUUAACGGCCGGGCGCUAUAAGCCGCAAGGCGAAGGCGACGGAAAGUGCAACAGAGAACAGACCGCCGAUGGACGAAGAAAGGUAUUGCUUUAGGCGAUAUUUUUUACGGACGUAGAUUUUCUGCGCCGUUGCGGGAAGCCGUAAAAGCUGCCCGCCGGAUCAGGCAAGGGUGAAACGGUGGUCCGGCGCAAGCCGGAACGGACGGAAUCGGUUCCGUCCGGGGUAAGAGCCCACCGCGGACGUGGCGACACGGACGGCAUGGCAAACCCCAUCCGAAGCAAGGCCAAAUAGGGAAGCGCAUGACGUGGCUCGCGUUUGCUUCCGGGUAGGCUGCUUGAGCGCGCUGGUAACAGCGCGCCUAGAGGAAUGGUUGCCCAACGACAGAACCCGGCUUAUCGACCGGCUUUCCAC
RNAcentral lists this RNase P RNA (485 nucleotides) under Accumulibacter sp. Its description in RNAcentral is "RNase P RNA component class A". It matches the Rfam family "Bacterial RNase P class A". From Rfam's summary of the family: Ribonuclease P (RNase P) is a ubiquitous endoribonuclease, found in archaea, bacteria and eukarya as well as chloroplasts and mitochondria. Its best characterised activity is the generation of mature 5'-ends of tRNAs by cleaving the 5'-leader elements of precursor-tRNAs. Lineage: Bacteria; Pseudomonadati; Pseudomonadota; Betaproteobacteria. The record is from RNAcentral.